AUGGUCUCUUGUGGUCGCACUGCCGUGAACAUCAAUGGGGAGAUUGGCCCCUACUUUCCCACUCUUUGUGGGGUGAGACAAGGCGACCCUCUCUCCCCGUUCUUGUUCAAUAUGGUGGUGGACGCACUUGUUGCCAUCCUGGACACGGCUAAGGCUGCGGGCCAUAUUCGUGGGAUGACCCCCCACUUGGCCGGUGGUUCCGGCAUCUCCCUGCUCCAGUACACCGACGACACCAUCAUUAUGGUCGAAGGCUCGAACGCGGACAUCGCUAACCUUAAGUUCCUCCUUCUCUGCUUCCAACAAAUGUCUGGCCUCAAGAUCAACUUCGACAAGAGUGAUGUGAUGGUGACGGGCUACUCUCCGGCAGAGGCCCUCGACAUUGCCAACCGCCUUAAUUGCCGCCUGGGCUCCUUCCCCACAACCUUCGGAACGCCCAUUAGUGACUCUCGGCUUACCGUUCCUGACUUGCGGCCGACUGUGGCCAAGUUGCAAAUGCGCAUUGAGCCUUGGCAGGGUCGGUGGCUGUCGAAGGCGGCCCGGACGAUUCUCAUCAACUCCUCACUCUCCAUUCUCCUCUUGUUCCUCAUGAGCUUCUACAGCCUUCAUGAGACGCUCCACCAUGAGAUCGAAAAGGUCCAAUCCCGCUUCUAUUGGGUGUGGGAUCCCAUAUGGUUAGCUGGCCCGACAUCUACAAGCCCCGGGAAUAAGGUGGCCUCGGUAUCAUGUGCUCGAAGCGCAUGA
Molecule: ribosomal RNA, 741 nt
Filed under: Triticum aestivum (bread wheat)
Lineage: Eukaryota; Viridiplantae; Streptophyta; Magnoliopsida; Poales; Poaceae
Description: partial small subunit ribosomal RNA
Source: RNAcentral